This 1324-nucleotide long non-coding RNA is filed under the name Anser cygnoides (Swan goose). RNAcentral describes it as "lncRNA (ENSACDG00005010667.1)". The record is from RNAcentral. Lineage: Eukaryota; Metazoa; Chordata; Aves; Anseriformes; Anatidae.
AUGCUUUACUGUUUAGAACAGAAGGGGAGCAGGCUAGCGCCACAGGGAUGUUUAGGCAGGACGCGAUGGGUGCGUGACUCCUUGCUCAGCUGCCCUCCUGGUGCAGCUUUCCUGAGAGGAAGACCUGCAUCCUGGCAGAGACACCAGCUGGCCAGACGUGGGCCAAGCCAAGCUGGGCACAAGAGCCAGUGUGGAGGGAAGGAGGGAGCCACCAAACAGAAGAGCAGAGCUCUUGCGUCUUGGAAGCUGCAGACCCAGCUGGCUCUGCCCAGGCAGAAAUGCUCUCAGGCAAGGAAAGGAGGCUGUCCCUGCUGCCAUGGAGGUUUUGAGCAAGUGGCUUCUGAGUUGCACACAUACAACCGAGGGUGCUCUUUACCCAGAUGCUCACUCCAAGACGGACAAGGAAAACUGUGUCUGGAGGCAGCACAAGGCAAUGACCUAUAAGAAGAGGAAUGGCUAUAAACCAUCAUUUACAGAGAAAAAGCUACUGGUAUAAACACACCAAUAUCUGAAAGCAAGAGUUAGCCACAUGGCCACUGUCCACUACGUCCAGUGUUAGAGCACAUGUGCACAUACAGUUUCCAUCAGUAUUAACACCGGAGAGGUGCUUUAACAGAGAAUGGAAUACAGUAUAAAGUACUUUACUGAUGUUAUUGCUUUUUCUCUUUAUAUCUUAUGCAGGUAGUCUGUGCCUUUGCAGCCUGAAAGAGCAUGUUGCUGUUGGACAAAAUAUCAUGACUUAUACCUCCUGAUAUGCUAUUAUCAGUACAACAUUUUGGAUAUAUGUACAACCUCAAUGCUUUCUUCAUGUAGCAUCGUACACACAUAGGCACACUGGUGUUUGACCACUACCUUGCACUGGUUCAGGUCCCACUGCUUUUGGAAGUACUAUAACAUAUAGUACUCCAUAUUUUUAAUAAUGGCAUCUUAUCCAUUAGCCAUUAGCCAAUGAAAAUGACUGCUAAAAUAUGAAGAUACAUAGAGAACUGAUAUACCAGUAAAAAAUUAAUUAGUGAUAUAAUAUUAAAAAAAAAAAAUUUCUCAAUGACAUAGAAAAAUGACAGAUGUUUGUAGAAGUACAUCUGGACUUCUCAAAAAGUAAAUACCACAGGCAUCAAGCAGCACUCAGAAUGAGUUGUAAACAGCUUGUUACAUCUUUCUCACAUCAUGUAAAAUGAUCUCCCCUAUAUAACUUAAGAAAUUUUCUUUAGAAGACUUGCCUUCAGAGAAAACACCAGCACCAGCAAGGUUCACAAGCUUUUAUAAAACUCCAGGGAAAAUUGAAUCUAAUAAAAUGCAGAGAAAUUUGAUGGAUUUAAAACUG